This 374-nucleotide ribosomal RNA is filed under the name uncultured eukaryote. Its description in RNAcentral is "partial 18S ribosomal RNA". It matches the Rfam family "Eukaryotic small subunit ribosomal RNA", at positions 592 to 975 of the family's 1831-position model. The record is from RNAcentral.
CAAUAGCGUAUAUUUAAGUUGUUGCAGUUAAAAAGCUCGUAGUUGGAUUUCGGUUGAGAGCGGCCGGUCCGCCGUUUGGUGUGCACUGGCUGGUUUCAACUUCCUGUAGAGGACGCGCUUUGGGCUUAACGACCUGGACUCGGAGUCUACGUGGUUACUUUGAAAAAAUUAGAGUGUUCAAAGCGGGCUUACGCUUGAAUAUUUCAGCAUGGAAUAACACUAUAGGACUCCUGUCCUAUUUCGUUGGUCUCGGGACGGGAGUAAUGAUUAAGAGGAACAGUUGGGGGCAUUCGUAUUUCAUUGUCAGAGGUGAAAUUCUUGGAUUUAUGAAAGACGAACUUCUGCGAAAGCAUUUGCCAAGGAUGUUUUCAUUA